This 25-nucleotide microRNA is filed under the name Bombyx mori (domestic silkworm). RNAcentral's name for it is "bmo-miR-3416". The record is from miRBase by way of RNAcentral. Lineage: Eukaryota; Metazoa; Arthropoda; Insecta; Lepidoptera; Bombycidae.
UCGAAUGUCGCAGGACGUGCUGGCU